GGGCCCAUAGCUCAGCUGGUUAGAGCAUCCGACUCAUAAUCGGCAGGUCGUAGGUUCGAGUCCUACUGGGCCCACCA
Molecule: transfer RNA, 77 nt
Filed under: bacterium
Lineage: Bacteria
Also listed under: 1 other name
Description: tRNA-Ile
Rfam family: tRNA
About the family: Transfer RNA (tRNA) molecules are approximately 80 nucleotides in length.
Source: RNAcentral